UGGGUGAUGGCGUGCCUUUUGUAGAAUGAACCGGCGAGUUACGAUUUGAUGCAAGGUUAAGCAGUAAAUGUGGAGCCGUAGCGAAAGCGAGUCUGAAUAGGGCGUUUAGUAUUUGGUCGUAGACCCGAAACCAGGUGAUCUACCCUUGGUCAGGUUGAAGUUCAGGUAACACUGAAUGGAGGACCGAACCGACUUACGUUGAAAAGUGAGCGGAUGAACUGAGGGUAGCGGAGAAAUUCCAAUCGAACCUGGAGAUAGCUGGUUCUCUCCGAAAUAGCUUUAGGGCUAGCCUCAAGUGAUGAUUAUUGGAGGUAGAGCACUGUUUGGACGAGGGGCCCCUCUCGGGUUACCGAAUUCAGACAAACUCCGAAUGCCAAUUAAUUUAACUUGGGAGUCAGAACAUGGGUGAUAAGGUCCGUGUUCGAAAGGGAAACAGCCCAGACCACCAGCUAAGGUCCCAAAAUAUAUGUUAAGUGGAAAAGGAUGUGGCGUUGCCCAGACAACUAGGAUGUUGGCUUAGAAGCAGCCAUCAUUA
This 535-nucleotide ribosomal RNA is filed under the name Staphylococcus aureus. RNAcentral describes it as "bacterial LSU rRNA". It matches the Rfam family "Bacterial large subunit ribosomal RNA", at positions 590 to 1124 of the family's 2925-position model. Lineage: Bacteria; Bacillati; Bacillota; Bacilli; Caryophanales; Staphylococcaceae. The record is from RNAcentral.